AUGGACAUGAAAGCCACCACUCAGCUCCUGGGGCUCCUGCUGCUCUGUUUCCCAGGUGCCAGAUGUGACAUCCAGAUGACACAGUCUCCAGAAUCCCUGUCUGCAUCUUUAGGAGACUCAGUCGCCAUCACUUGCCAGGCCAGUCAGGAUAUUGGUAAUGAAUUAAGCUGGUAUCAGCAGAAACCAGGGAAAGCUCCUAAGCUCCUGAUCUAUGAUGCAUCGAGUUUGCAAAGUGGGGUCUCCUCGAGGUUCAGUGGCAGUGGAUCUGGGACAGACUACACUCUCACCAUCAGCAGCCUGGA
Molecule: non-coding RNA, 302 nt
Organism: Galeopterus variegatus (Sunda flying lemur)
Lineage: Eukaryota; Metazoa; Chordata; Mammalia; Dermoptera; Cynocephalidae
Source: the annotation of a RefSeq genome assembly